RNAcentral lists this ribosomal RNA (833 nucleotides) under uncultured bacterium. Its description in RNAcentral is "bacterial SSU rRNA". It matches the Rfam family "Bacterial small subunit ribosomal RNA", at positions 51 to 871 of the family's 1533-position model. The record is from RNAcentral.
UAUCAUGCAAGUCGAACGAGAGGAAGGAAAGCUUGCUUUUCUGAAUCUAGUGGCGAACGGGUGAGUAACACGUAGGUAACCUGCCCAUGUGCCCGGGAUAACUUCUGGAAACGGAUGCUAAAACCGGAUAGGUAGCAGACAAGCAUUUGACUGCUAUUAAAGUGGCUUUGGCCAUGAACAUGGAUGGACCUGCGGUGCAUUAGCUGGUUGGUGAGGUAACGGCCCACCAAGGCGACGAUGCAUAGCCGGCCUGAGAGGGCGGACGGCCACAUUGGGACUGAGACACGGCCCAAACUCCUACGGGAGGCAGCAGUAGGGAAUUUUCGUCAAUGGGGGGAACCCUGAACGAGCAAUGCCGCGUGAGUGAGGAAGGUCUUCGGAUCGUAAAGCUCUGUUGUAAGAGAAAAACGGCACUCAUAGGGAAUGAUGAGUGAGUGAUGGUAUCUUACCAGAAAGUCACGGCUAACUACGUGCCAGCAGCCGCGGUAAUACGUAGGUGGCGAGCGUUAUCCGGAAUGAUUGGGCGUAAAGGGUGCGUAGGUGGCAGAUCAAGUCUGGAGUAAAAGGUAUGGGCUCAACCCGUACUGGCUCUGGAAACUGAUCAGCUAGAGAACAGAAGAGGACGGCGGAACUCCAUGUGUAGCGGUAAAAUGCGUAGAUAUAUGGAAGAACACCGGUGGCGAAGGCGGCCGUCUGGUCUGGAUUCUGACACUGAAGCACGAAAGCGUGGGGAGCAAAUAGGAUUAGAUACCCUAGUAGUCCACGCCGUAAACGAUGAGAACUAGGUGUUGGGGGAAUAACUCAGUGCCGCAGUUAACGCAGUAAGUUCUCCG